GACGAACGCUGGCGGCGUGCUUAACACAUGCAAGUCGAACGGAAAGGCCCUGCUUUUGUGGGGUGCUCGAGUGGCGAACGGGUGAGUAACACGUGAGUAACCUGCCCUUGACUUUGGGAUAACUUCAGGAAACUGGGGCUAAUACCGGAUAGGAGCUCCUGCUGCAUGGUGGGGGUUGGAAAGUUUCGGCGGUUGGGGAUGGACUCGCGGCUUAUCAGCUUGUUGGUGGGGUAGUGGCUUACCAAGGCUUUGACGGGUAGCCGGCCUGAGAGGGUGACCGGGCACAAUGGGGCCUGAGGAAGCGCCCGAACCCCAACGGGGGCAAUGGGGGGGGAAUUUGCCCAAAGGGGCGGAGCCGGGAGCGAGCAACCCCGGUGGGGGAAGGCCGGCCUUCGGGUUGAAAACCGCUUCCGCCUGGGAGAAAGCGUGGGGGCCGUAAAUGGGAAAAAAAGCACCGGUUAACUCCGU
RNAcentral lists this ribosomal RNA (468 nucleotides) under uncultured bacterium. Its description in RNAcentral is "partial 16S ribosomal RNA". It matches the Rfam family "Bacterial small subunit ribosomal RNA", at positions 28 to 506 of the family's 1533-position model. The record is from RNAcentral.